UUUCCGUAGGUGAACCUGCGGAAGGAUCAUUAUUGUAUAACAGAGGUGCGAGUGCUGUCGCUGACUCGAGAGGUCGUGCACGCCCGAGUGCCCUCACACACAUCCAUCUCACCCCUAUGUGCACCUCCACGUGGGUCCCCCUUUGGCUUGUUCGGAGGGGGGCUUACGUUUUCACUCAUCCUUAGUAUGCAGUGUAGAAUGUAUUUUUUGUGUUUGCUAUCACGCAAUCAAUACAACUUUCAACAACGGAUCUCUUGGCUCUC
This 263-nucleotide unclassified non-coding RNA is filed under the name plant metagenome. RNAcentral describes it as "partial contains small subunit ribosomal RNA, internal transcribed spacer 1, and 5.8S ribosomal RNA". The record is from RNAcentral.